This 310-nucleotide unclassified non-coding RNA is filed under the name uncultured bacterium. RNAcentral describes it as "contains 16S-23S intergenic spacer region". The record is from RNAcentral.
UCCCCGUUGCCGAGGCAGUCUCGUAAGACACAGGUAACUUACGACGAGGGUUGCGCUCGUUAAGGGACUUAACCCUACAUCUCACGACACGAGCUGACGACGGCCAUGCAUCACCUGUCACCAGUCCAACUAAAUGACCAUCUGCUUUCACAGACGUACGACUGGGAUGUCAAGCCUUGGUAAGGUUCUACGCGUAUCAUCGAAUUAAACCACACGCUCUACCGCUUGUGCGGGUCCCCGUCAAUUCCUUUGAGUUUUAAGCUUGCGCUCGUACUCCCCAGGCGGGGCACUUAAUGCGUUAGCUACGGCA